Molecule: long non-coding RNA, 1087 nt
Filed under: Cicer arietinum (chickpea)
Lineage: Eukaryota; Viridiplantae; Streptophyta; Magnoliopsida; Fabales; Fabaceae
Description: long non-coding RNA (CARI_LNC000839)
Source: RNAcentral
UAGGGCAUAAGUUUGCCUCAUUUAGAGGGAGAAUGAGAGGUGGAGAAAAUUCAAAAAAGAGAUAAAAGAAAGUUUAUUGGGAGGGGAUUGGACCCUACAACAAGUACUCAGACAUAAUGUUUUCCAGCUAAGCUAUAUAUAAUGAGGUUGCUCUUUUCAGCUCUUUCUUUUUGCCAAAUAUGUCUCAAUCAACCAACCAACCAGGUAGGUCAAAGUUCGUUCAUUCAUUCAUUGAAUAUUUUCUUCUUCUUUUUUUAGAAUAAGCACAAUGAACGUGAUAUUAAAAUCUCUCACCAAUUUGCCAUUCACGUGAAGUUCCUACAUAAAUCUCACAAAAUCAAGUUUAAUAUCUCCCUAGAAUUCUUUCAAAAAAGCAAAAUUCACCUCAUUUAGCCUAAAACUUUUACAACCACCACAAUCUCAAACUAUCUCCCUAAUUUCAUCCUAAAAAAAAGUCUUACAAGCAACAAAGACUCAUCUUCGCUUAACAUAGAAAACUACAAACAAACAUCAACUGAAACAAACCUCUGCAUUUAAAAAUGAUUCUCAAAGUGAGGAAAUAUCACCUCUUGAAUAUGUUUCACCCCUCCAUUGUGCCUCCCUCAACUUCUAGACUCCUUAUAGAAUUAUGACGAUGCUUACUAGAUACCACCCCAUGAAAGUAUCUAAUAUUACCAUUCUCUUCGUUCAACCACCGAACUCUAGACUUUUGCCACAUAAUGCUACAAUUCAAUUUAGAUGACUAACUCAAUGGUCGUUAAGAACCUCAUCUCCUCAAUAUCAGAGUCAAUCAACAUAUUCAUCUCUCUUUUCAAAUCAAUUGCAUUUAGACCAUCUUUGGAAGUCUUAAAUUUUUCAAUAACAUUAGAACUGUGAAUCUUAUGUCAACCCCUCAAAGACAUCUUAAUUCCCUUUAUUUUUUCUUUCGGCACAAAACCACCCCAACCAUCAAAGGACAUCGAACUCUAAAUUUAUUUGACAAAAUCACGAUAAUCUCCAUAAUUCGCGCGACACUUCAAUAUACGAAAGGAUUUAGAGCCUCAAUCCUAUCCCGAAUCUUGAUAAAAGUAGCGCACAUUGAAUAUCC